Molecule: transfer RNA, 69 nt
Filed under: Trioceros montium
Lineage: Eukaryota; Metazoa; Chordata; Lepidosauria; Squamata; Chamaeleonidae
Description: tRNA-Tyr
Source: RNAcentral
UGGGGAGGGGGGGAGUUGAACCCCCAUAAGUAAAUUUACAGCUUACUGCCUUUGCUCGGCCACCUAACC